This 482-nucleotide ribosomal RNA is filed under the name uncultured bacterium. RNAcentral's name for it is "partial 16S ribosomal RNA". It matches the Rfam family "Bacterial small subunit ribosomal RNA", at positions 28 to 507 of the family's 1533-position model. The record is from RNAcentral.
GACGAACGCUGGCGGCGUGCCUAACACAUGCAAGUCGAACGGAACUGUUUUGAAGGAUUUCUUCGGAAUGAAUUUGAUUUAGUUUAGUGGCGGACGGGUGAGUAACGCGUGAGUAACCUGCCUUCAAGAGGGGAAUAACAUUCUGAAAAGAAUGCUAAUACCGCAUGACAUAUCGGAACCACAUGGUUUUGAUAUCAAAGAUUUUAUCGCUUGAAGAUGGACUCGCGUCCGAUUAGUUAGUUGGUGAGGUAACGGCUCACCAAGACCGCGAUCGGUAGCCGUACUGAGAGGUUGAACGGCCACAUUGGGACUGAGACACGGCCCAGACUCCUACGGGAGGCAGCAGUGGGGGAUAUUGCGCAAUGGGGGCAACCCUGACGCAGCAACGCCGCGUGAAGGAUGAAGGUUUUCGGAUUGUAAACUUCUUUUAUUAAGGACGAAAAAUGACGGUACUUAAUGAAUAAGCUCCGGCUAACUACGUG